Molecule: long non-coding RNA, 2897 nt
Filed under: Nasonia vitripennis (jewel wasp)
Lineage: Eukaryota; Metazoa; Arthropoda; Insecta; Hymenoptera; Pteromalidae
Description: uncharacterized LOC103317652
Source: RNAcentral
UGUCUUUUUCGACUCGCUUCUCCGUAUAGCUUUAUGUAUAUUUUUAGUUGGACGCGUCUGUGUAUGCGCCUAUUCGUAAGUCGGGGGAGAGACUGACCAAGACGGUCGUCAUGGGAACCUGGUGUUCGUUUGUGUAUUAUACGUGCUUUUCUCAGACGGCAUCAGAUGAUACAGUGAGAGAAACUGUUGUAGGGACACAAGCUACUGAAUUAUCGAAUGGAAAUGAUGUGCAUUUUCGGUUUGGAGAGUAAUGAUUGGAUCUACACAUGCCUAAGUGUGUACCGGGAGAAAUCAUGGCAAUGUUAUGGAAUGCAGCGCUGGACCCAUGGCGAGAUAUUAAGGCGAAGACGCCUGUGGGAUUGAAGUAACGUCCGCCAUUCGAAUGAUAACGCUGAUGUAUAUCAGGAUCGGAUGCGAUCCCCCAGAUUCGGCUGCGAGAUGUUGUUCGGAUUUACGGCGAUACUUGCCACUGGGCGAGGGUGGAUUUUUUUGCGGAAGACGAAUGAUUUGUUUAUAAGGAGAAACUCGAGUUUCAGGAGUGUAUCGAUCAGACGAAAUGAGUUGACAAAGACGACCCAUUGAUUAUCUCACGGCAAAUACCUCGUCAAACUCCGAUCAAUUACAAAAAUCCAAUCAAUUAACCAAGUUCUUGUACACGCUUUCUCAGCCACCUUCGACACGGGCGUACUCCGUGGACCCGAUGAUUGAUCAACCUUUAUUUUUCGUCGUUCAUUCGAGAGUACGUGAAGGGAACGUAAGAUUGACGAGGAAGGAUUUCGGCCGCCGCUAAAGAUGUUAUUUCGUAUGUUUAGGACUUUUGGGUAUACUAACCCUUCCGAAGCCGCGAAAGUUUGGAGAGCAGAGCUUGAUUCUAUAUAGACCGAUGAUAAGAGAUUAAAUUACACUCCUAUGUAAUUUAGGGGACUUUACGAAGGAUUUAAAGUUAUUCAAUCGCGUGGGAGGUUACGCUCGUCAUCGGAAUUGAAUUACGAUUUCUCCCUCUCUUUCAAUAUUUUAUCCCAAACGACUGGUGCGAUUAAAUUCUUUUUACUAUAGCUCGUUCGCUUUUUUCAUCGAGCCGUACCUCCACUGCAAAAAAAAACUACCAAUUACACCGUACUGUGAAAGAGUGCAAUUAAAACCCCCCAUCAAGCAAAUAAUCUCGCAGGAGGUAAAUUAAACAGAAGCCUGGCCCUCGUAAAGCGUAAGACCUCCUAAAAGCAAAUCAAUCCAGCCAUUACCUCGUCUUCAGCUCCUUGGCAACAGCUCGAAGAAAUACAGCGAAAAAUUCACUGGCAGUAGAGAGACGAUCGCAACAAACAAACUCAUCGCUCGAAAGUCGCUGACGCUCGUGCGAAGCACUCGGCCGUCCAUAAAAGCGCACUACCGGCGGGCUUCGCGUUAAAAUAAGUGGCGACCCUCCACGUGUAUACACUAUCUUCGCGAUCUUUACGACUCCAUCAUCGCGCGGCUCUCCAUACCGCAAAGCUCAAGCUCUAUAUACAGCCCGGCGGGAAAGAAGCCUCGGCGAUGUAACGACCGGUAUAUAUGAUUUCCGACUUAAGCCGUCCGAGUGUCGGCGCAGUGCAAGCUCUAUAUUGCCGAGCGGAGAUCCUCCUCUGCCAUAUUUCGCAGCUCUCUUAUCGUUCGUAAUGAAGAAAUAAAUCCGACACGAAAGAAAGCAAGAGAGAGAGAGAGAGAGAGAGAGAGAGACGCACACGCACUGUAGACGUGUUGUUCGCAGCUGCGGACAAAGUUGGUAAUUCCGUGAAGGCUCGGCUCAAGGGAGAACGGGCUGAAACUUUCCUCCGAGUGUCUGGCGUAUUAUAUGCUAGCUGGAAGUGAUAUAUACACGGGGAAGAGAGAUGAAGGCGGGUAUAUCGAGCUUUGAUCGGACCAUCGAGGAGGUCCACAUCUGCAAGCUCUGACCUUGCGAUGGGCGAUCGCUUUUAGGUAGCAGGAGCUCGUAUGGGUGUAUAUAUUGAAAUGGAUGGGGAGAGGAGGAUGGUUAACACUGCGAGGUGGAUAAAGAAUCGUUCGUUACUUUCUAUUAGGGAGUAGGUUCGAGCUUGUAUGCGCGAAGCUGUAGCAGCUAGCUGAGAUGGAAGUUUAAAAAUUAAGCACGCGAGAUUUGCCGACUUCUGAAGUCGAGCUUUUUAUUUAAAUGAAUGCGCUUGCAGUAUUUACACUGAAGAACAAGCUAAUAAAGAAUACGCUGUUUUCAGUGGAAAUGAUCGGGUAUUGUCAGCCACACGACUAAUAAUCAUCGCUGUGUAACCAUUGAGAUAUCAGACUAGGGACAGAUUAUUUUCACGAGAAAAAGCUGGGAUGAAACACCUCUCAAAUAUAUCAGAGAUUCUUCGAAAGCACAUCCAGACCUAUCAUAAAUCAAAGCAAAAUACGCUGCGAGAAUAUCUUCGCGCUCAAUAUACAUCUUAUCGGAGUAAAUUUUCAAAAGGGGCACAUCAGUUCGUGUUUGAAUUCCUGUUUUUUUCACAUACAUACUUCGAAUAUGUUACACGGCUCUUCGGCAUCAGACUCACGCGCCAAAAUUUACUCGGAUGGAGAGGAGGUCUCGAGUAGGUAGUGUUGAGAAAAUACUCGAAAAUACAACGAUACACACACACACACACACACACACAGCUAGUAUAUCUGUAUAGCUGUACAAGACCGGAGCAGAGGUCCGAGGGUUGCUACCUGGGUUUUAUUGCACCCGACCCACCACCGACGCAACGCCCCCCAGCAGAGACGCAGAGGCACAGGGCCUCACUUCUUCAAGAACCGCAGACCAGCCAACACAUCUGCGGCACAACAAGCUUUAUCUAUUUUUGUUCACAUAAAGUUUUUUCAGUGUAUUAUUAUUAAUUCUCUAAUAAGUGUCACAAUUAUAUUUUGCU